Long non-coding RNA from Cyprinus carpio (common carp), 410 nucleotides. RefSeq lists it as uncharacterized. The transcript is spliced from 4 exons. Lineage: Eukaryota; Metazoa; Chordata; Actinopteri; Cypriniformes; Cyprinidae. The record is from RefSeq and is a predicted model, not a curated record.
UUGACCACGGACUUUUAUUUUGAAACGACGAAGCCCGAACAGAUAAUGUGCAUUUGUUUGUACUGGAUGGGAAGUGUUGCUCAGAUAUGAUCUGUUUUAGCUGCUGUUUAAUACAUUUUAGUCUGUAGUUGAAAGGCCACGCGCUCGGUCAGUUAUAUGCAGCGCGUGAGUUUAGACUUCACAGGAACAAUCUUUCGUCACGCCAUCUGCCUUGGAGAUGCAGAGAACGACUCGUUGAAUGAGCUGGUGGUGGGAGACACUAGUGGGAAGCUGUGCAUCUAUAAAAACGAUGACUGUAAGCCCUGGAUCACGAGGACAUGUGUGGGCAUGUUAACGUGUUGGAGUGGGAGAUGUUUGCAACAAAGGAAGGAUUUGCUUUUGUGUGCACAUGUAAGAUGGAGACUCGCUCU